CCAAAAGCGUAAACAAGGGGAAAGCGUUGGUUAGCCUAUAGGAAAACACAACUGUCUGUCAGAACUCAGAAACGUUUUGCAAAGAACUCAUUCGAUUAAAAUGGUACGAGAAAAGCAAACUGCUCGCAAAUCGACCCGUGCUGCUGGCCAACUUACUGCCCUUGCCGCACAGAAGAAAAUCAAAGGAAGGCACUCCCAACGUAUCGCCAAUCAAAGUGGCUUGAAAACUGAACUUUUGAAGAAGAAGAAGCAUCUACAUCACUAUCGUCCUGGUGCCCUGGCUCUCAAGGAGAUUCGUCGCUACCAAAACUCGACCAAUCUUCUCAUCCCGAGAGUUCGUUUCCAACGACUUGUUCGCGAAAUCUCGAAGGACUUCAAACUGAACUUGAGAUUCCAGAGUGGAGCCAUUGGCACCUUGCAGGAGGCCAGCGAGGCAUUUUUGGUGGGCCUAUUUGAAGACACCAAUCUGUGUGCUCUUCAUGCCAGUCGUGUCACCAUCAUGCCCAAGGAUAUUCAGCUAGCACGUCGGAUACGAGGAUAGAAAUUCAAAAGCUUGUCCAACUUUAAAUUCAAGAAAACUAUUAAAGAAAAACAGAACAUCCCCAGCACAUUUUAUUAACCAAGAAGUAAAUUCAUCCUAUUUUGUAUUAUAUAAUUUUAAGUCCCAUUUUUGUAUAUCAAUGGCAGCACAUUUCUAUCAUUAGAAAGCACUGUUUGGCUAUUUAAUACCAGACAAAACUUGUAUUUUGUUGAACUUGUUCCUCAAAUUUGUAUGCGACUAAAACAAAUGAAUUGAGCAAUCCAAUGUUUGGGCAGUCAAUAAAUAAGUUCAGUAAAAUAAUAUGUAGUCACAAUCUAAUCUGAAUUAUAACUAACAUUUAUAAUAAUUCAUUUUCUUCUUUUCUCAAACAUUCUUGCCUUGCACUCAUCAGAGUGUAUUAUUAAAUCACAAAAACAUGUUGAAGCGUCCACAAAAACCUCAUACCCAAACCCAUAUGAUAUUCAAUCCCCCAACUCCUGUUUGUCAAUUAAUAAUUAAGUUUGAUAAUUUUUUCUCAUAUAUAACGUAUUUAACGAUGGUUUCUCCACGUUGGCUGCGUCGUCUUUGACCGUUUAUAGUAUUGCCACCUUCACGUUACAUAUAUCACCGUCAACAUAUUAGAUUGAAAAAAGUGUUGUAGAUGUCGUGACUGCUGACGACGUCAAAAUUUUCUAAUCAAAUCACUUAUUUAUAAUAAGUAGUUCAGUCAUUCCCUUUCUUUAGUGUUGCCGGAGCUCUUGAACCGCACAUAUUCACACCAAAUUGUUUUUUUCUUUCUUAUCUCGUGAACUCGACUGAUGCAGAUAUAACAGCCGGUCGACAAGAAAUUUAAUAUUUCAUGGUUCAAUGGACAAAUUGGACAUUUAUCGAGAUAGUGGUUCUGAUAUCGUUUGAUUUUUCAAAAAUUUAUUGCGUCAUUCUCUUCCCUCCUUCUGUUGGCCGAACGCCGAACUACACAUUGAACUAGUUCUAGUCAUCAUAAGUUAAGUUUCUUUUUCAGCGCUCCUUAAACAGCUAUCAAACGAAACUAAAUGGCCGAGGAAACUGAGAAUGAACGAAGGCAACCACCAGCAGGAUGUACGGACAGUACGCUGAACAAAAUCAAACCGAGUGAUCGAGCAAACUUCAAUAUUGCUCAAAACACGAGAAAAGUAAUAAAAACGGCGAAAAUGAUUCGACAAAAUUUAGUAGCAUUUCACAUGGCACUUUUGAAAGUGAGACGCUGAAGGUCUUUAUCCGAAAAUUUGAAAGAUCAAGGAUGAGGGAUGGAGAUCUUGAAGUCAUUCGGGAUCUCGCGGCUCUUCGACAGCGACCGAAUUUGCACGGAAAUUUCAUCCGCUACUUCGCAAUGGAAGAAGACAGAGACUUUAUUUACGUCAUCACAAAGUGGUGCAUUUGUUCCGUGGAAGAUCUGUACGGUACCAGAAGUAAUGAGGGAACCAAUUGGAUUGGAGAACAGAUUUUUGUGGAAAAAAUCAAGAAAUCACUAGGACCAAAACAGAUCUUAUGGCAAGCCACAAAAGGACUGGAAUAUCUGCACCAUUUGAAAUAUGUCCACCGAAACCUGAAGCCGAGUAACUUUUUGAUCGCUAAAAUUAGCGACAUGGAUCAGCCCGACGAGUACAAGGUGAAGCUGUCAGAUUUCUCUUAUAGUAAACAACCAAAGGAGAGUCCAAUAGUUUCUGGCCCGAGAGGAUCGAACGGAUGGAUCGCUCCCAUUUCGGAAACGGGAACAAUAAAAGCGCCAGAGGAUUAUGUUGCAGAUGACGUGUUUGUCCUCGGAAGUUUUUUUCACUACGUUUUGACCAACGGACUUCAUCCUUUCGGUAUUUAACAACUCGCAAAGAAUCAACAGUAAUUCUGAUCCGGUGUAUUGUGCUGCGUGGAAUCCGAGGUUGAAUCCAUCUCUGCCAAAUCAAAACGAACAAGCAGACCUUCUUUUGAAAUUUGAAGCAAAUGAUCAAGUUCGUUCCCAAGGAAAGGUGCAGCCUCAUCCAAGUCUUGGAUUCCCAUUAUUUUCUGCCGGAUAAUUAUUACCAUGAUUAUUAAAAACUUUACGACAUAACCGACGGAGUCAAACCGGGACUCUCCGUCAUCUUUAACCAAGAAAUUUUUGAUGAUUCAAGAAGCAAUCGAGACGGAACUGAACGUGAUCAAACAAAAUUGACAGGGGUAUUCAAGGCUUUGGGAUUUGACGUGGAAAUUUUCGAAAACUUGAAGAAGAAAGAUCUUUUAUAUUAUAUUGAAGGUUUAAGAUCACGGGAUUUCUCCACAUACGCCAGUCUCAUUGUUUGCAUUCUCUCCCAUGGAGAUGAGAAUGUCGUGGAAGGAACCGAUGGAAAAAGUUUGAAUAUCAACGAACUUAAAUAUAAGUUCAACAGUAACGAUUGUCCUUCAUUGAACGGAAAUCCAAAAUUUGGAUCAUACAAGCUUGCCAGGGCACUGAAAAUCAACCACCUUUUAGACAGUCUUCUGACAGAAGGUCCGAAUCGCGAUCGAAUUUUAAUACCGACGGUAAUCACCCAUCAGGACAGAUUUUAAGAUUUCAGAUUAGCUACGAGCCAAAAAUAACCUUUGAAAGAACAUCCACAACAAAGACAGAGGGAAAUGGAUCAGCACAAGAGAAUUUGAACAAUCGAGCGCCUUUUAUGGAUUUCCUUGACAUCAGAGCCUCUAUUCCUGGUUUCCAUGCUUACCGAUCUGAAGAUGGAUCUAUUCUGAUUCAAUGCCUUUGCGAGGAAAUGGGGAAGGAAUAUUUAAGCGGGAAAACGUCGCCGAAUAAAGAAUCCAAGGACUUAGAAGCAUCCUCAAUAGCGUGCAAGAUAUAAUAUGUAAUAAAACCAUGGCUUUAUCCGAGACUUUGUAACGAAUUUGUAAAACAAACUUUUGUGAGAAAUGUUUCUCUUAAUGGCCGGAUGAAAUUUAAAAAGGGCCAUUCACCGGGAAAAGUCACUUUACGACAAAAUGAAAGCUUUUUUUUUUGGUUAUGCAGAUUUAUAUUCUUCGUGACGGCUUCUCUACAUCGUUGCUUUUACCAGAGUUGAGACGAAGUAUACGACAGAGAAAUCCAUCAAUACCAUACGCCAAACUUUUUGAUUUACUUACUACUAUUUGGUGGGAUUACGUUGCCCGCAUUGUCUCGCUUCUUUUACCAAUAACUAUAUUUUAUCUGUUUAUAACCGUAUGCCCUAAUUCAAUUUCUUUUAUUAAUUUUUUUCGUUUUAUUUCACUUCAGUUUAAUUGUAAAUAAUUUAAAAAAUGUGUGCGCUUUACUCGAUGAUAGAUGGCUCGAGAAAAUAAAUUCCUUAGC
Molecule: long non-coding RNA, 3851 nt
Filed under: Daphnia pulicaria
Lineage: Eukaryota; Metazoa; Arthropoda; Branchiopoda; Diplostraca; Daphniidae
Description: uncharacterized LOC124312537, transcript variant X2
Source: RNAcentral